GACGAACGCUGGCGGCGUGCCUAAUACAUGCAAGUUGAGCGCUGAAGGUUGGUACUUGUACCAACUGGAUGAGCAGCGAACGGGUGAGUAACGCGUGGGGAAUCUGCCUUUGAGCGGGGGACAACAUUUGGAAACGAAUGCUAAUACCGCAUAAAAACUUUAAACACAAGUUUUAAGUUUGAAAGAUGCAAUUGCAUCACUCAAAGAUGAUCCCGCGCUGUAUUAGCUAGUUGGUGAGGUAAAGGCUCACCAAGGCGAUGAUACAUAGCCGACCUGAGAGGGUGAUCGGCCACAUUGGGACUGAGACACGGCCCAAACUCCUACGGGAGGCAGCAGUAGGGAAUCUUCGGCAAUGGACGAAAGUCUGACCGAGCAACGCCGCGUGAGUGAAGAAGGCUUUCGGAUCGUAAAACUCUGUUGGUAGAGAAGAACGUUGGUGAGAGUGGAAAGCUCAUCAAGUGACGGUAACUACCCAGAAAGGGACGGCUAACUACGUG
RNAcentral lists this ribosomal RNA (497 nucleotides) under uncultured bacterium. Its description in RNAcentral is "partial 16S ribosomal RNA". It matches the Rfam family "Bacterial small subunit ribosomal RNA", at positions 28 to 507 of the family's 1533-position model. The record is from RNAcentral.